This 690-nucleotide long non-coding RNA is filed under the name Brassica napus (rape). RNAcentral describes it as "long non-coding RNA (BNAP_LNC000773)". Lineage: Eukaryota; Viridiplantae; Streptophyta; Magnoliopsida; Brassicales; Brassicaceae. The record is from RNAcentral.
GCAGAAUGGAGAGUGUCGGUUAACUUGCCCCAAAUACAGCAUGGUAUUCUUGAAUCACUACCUCACAAGUAAAAAAAGCGAGGUUAGUUGUGAUUAUGUCACUCGAAAAUAAUUGAUUGGAUUGAAUUUAGAUGACAGAAAAAAUUACUUGAUGUCUCUUAGGGUGAACUCUAGUUUUUUACGCUGGUUUCCACCAGCACAUUGAAUAGUUUCGACAGCAUACCACAAUCCAAAACUUGGCCCAGCACAUCUGUUUAUAAAACAUUGAAAAGUUAUUAAAUGUAGCAAGUACACAAUUUAAUUGCAGAAACUAUCCAUUACGUAUUUACCUAUUAGGUAUUUUUCAUCAAGAGUUCCAGAUAGAACGCUUUGAAAAUCGACCAAAUUAAGAUAUAAGUCAUCAUUCAUGAAAUUGGACCGACUAACGACUGUUGCUUGAUUAAAUGAAAUCUUGCAGAUAUGGUUUGUUGUGCGAUAUGCUCCUCCAGCAGGCCUGACUUGGAAGUUUCUGAUGUUGCGCCAUACUCCAACCAGAAGAAGUCUUCCUUUACUCUCAAAGUAAGUCUUUUUGCAGCUUGCAUGAAUUUUAUGCCCCUUGUACAUGUUACAAUUAAAUAAAUUAGAAAUAUUAACAUCAAUUAAUAUCAAUGCUCAAGUUACACAAUUCUUUUUAAAAAAACACUAUUCUAU